GAUCCUGCUCAGGAUGAACGCUAGCGACAGGCUUAACACAUGCAAGUCGAGGGGCAUCAUGAGGUAGCAAUACCUUGAUGGCGACCGGCGCACGGGUGAGUAACGCGUAUGCAACCUGCCUGAUACCGGGGUAUAGCCCAUGGAAACGUGGAUUAACACCCCAUAGUACUUUUAUCCUGCAUGGGAUGUGAGUUAAAUGUUUAAGGUAUCGGAUGGGCAUGCGUCCUAUUAGUUAG
Molecule: ribosomal RNA, 236 nt
Filed under: uncultured bacterium
Lineage: Bacteria
Description: partial 16S ribosomal RNA
Rfam family: Bacterial small subunit ribosomal RNA
Source: RNAcentral